AUGUGUUUUUUUGUGCGAUUAAAUUUGGCAAUAGUGGGUGCGGCUUGGUUCCUUCCUGCUGGAGGCGGUCCAGUUGUGAACGUGAAAUUUCCUGAAAGGAAAACUAAGACGCGGACGCAGUGGCGUUCAUUGGAAAGAAGAGCCUUAAUCUUUGCAAUGCUGCCAAGACAAAGAAUUCCGCGCGGAAAAAAUAGCCGAAUUUUCCAAAAAAUUUCCCAGGAAAACUUUCAUUCUCCGGAGGAAAUUAUCUUCGGCGGAAAACACGUUCUUGUUAAGAAAAAUCCAAUCGUGCAUGCAGGUCAGCAGCUGAAUAUAAAUAAACAGACAGGUGUGGCACGACUAUAGCUUUUCCGAUGAGAAAAUUUCCUCGCUAUAGAGCACCCCCCCCCCCCCGUUGUACCUGAUGUAACUCUUAGCCGCCCCACUGGUAUCUGAGAGAGUAAUUAAUAACGACGGUUAUUACUCCUCCUAAGGAUGUAACAUGGAAAAAAAACCACGCUGACUGCAAGUAGUUUUCAAUCAUGAGAAUCCCGUCCAUGAGCCCAGGUUCUAAACAUACGCUUCAUAUUUUAACUGAAUGUUUCAGAAAGGGUUCUGUGAUAUAAUUGUUGCAAAUUUUCGAAGAACAAAAAAUUGAAAAAAUGAAGACAUUUUUUUUUUUUUUUUUUUUUUUUUUUAAAAAAAAAUUGAGUUGUUGGUAAAAAAAUUACAUAAUUGAAACUUCAAGGAAAAAGUAGAGAUAGUUAACGUUAACUAUGAAAGAAAAGCAACAAAAAAAAGGUAUCUGGAAAGAGAAAUUCCAUCAGCUGCCAUGAAAAUAAUAGUGAAAAUCAGUUGCGCGCAGAUGAUGAAGAAAAUAUCAUUCCGAAAAUCACUUUACUUCAUGUGUCUUGAAACAGCAUGAAGUAAUCAAUUUCCUUGCCAAGGAGUAAAAAAAUAAAAACAGAAUAAGUGCGGUCCUAGUCACGGCUAGUAAAUAAAGAGGUGUAAUUCCUGAUACAUUUGCGUCGUUAUCUGUUGUAGGUACAUUAAGGCUCAAAUCUAGCAACUGCACAAUGCUCCAUUAGAGUGCUAAGAGGAAACGACCUAUAAACAUUUAAUUCCUCCGAUAAAAUGUAUAUUUGACAAAAAGUUGUCGAAUAUUUUUCUACUGAAUUAUUCGAAAAUUGCAUUCAAUUUGCGAAGAAAGAAUAAAAAAGAAGAAAAAAACCUACAAAAAUGUCAAAAAUAAACAUUCCAGACGAUUACAGAAUGUUUGCCGGUUUCUUUACCUAACAAGUACAGCGAGGACACUAAUUAUGCCGUGCUAAGGAAGAACGCCGUAUGAGCCUUCAGACGUUGCCAAAUUUCCUUGAAUAAUACACAAAUGUAUGGGGAAAUUAGUGGAGAUUUUCCCUCCAAUUUUUCAGAGAAUUUUAUUCGCAACUAGAUCUUGGGAUUAAAAAAAUCUCAAGAGGAAACAAUCGCAACUCUCAUCAAAAAUUUAAAUGAACAUUUGAUCGGAGAUUUGGCAACUAUCGAAUGUUCAUUAAGUGUUUUUCCUUAGAACGGCAGAAUUGACAGCUUCCUCAAGAAAAACGUUACCAACUUCAAUCAGCAUGUAACAGAUGGAGGUGGAAUUUGACAGCAUUUUGUAAUUAGGAGCUACAAUUUCUGGCUCAGUUAUGUAUUUCAAGUUUCGCUAUGCAUGUAAGUGUUCCUACAGAUGAGCUGGCACUUGUAGUUGUAGUUCCGAAAUCCAAAAAGUAGUCAAAUUGUCAAUCUCAUGCUCGAAAAAUAACAUAAAGCCAAUGAAAGAGGCCACCUUGAAAGACAAGGCUAAGUACAUGUAUUUUUUUGGGCUCAACUCAAGUUUGUCACAAAUUAAAUAGCUUCUAGAAAUUAUCAACAAAUGGAAUUUUACUCAAGAGCUUCACAGUAAACACACCUGAAUCAAAUGGGGAGGGGUUAUUUUGUAACUUUCAUGUCUCAUGAGGCCCCCCCCCCCCCACUAUAGACUAGGGUUUUUACGGCCCUCCCCGGGUCAUUGAAAUCUCCGUUCCUGUGACUACAAUAGCUUGAAGAAAUAAAUUGAUGAAUAAUAAAACUGUCGAAAUGCUGCAUUCUUCAUCAACACUCCAUGUGAGAAGGUAAAGAAGCCAUAAUUUCAAGCAAACGCCUUCCAGCAAUGGGCUCAGCGAAGAUUUCUGCUUUACAACUCCUUUAGGUGCGAUGCCGUACCUUCGAGGGGCAGUUUACAAAAUUACAAUUUGCGACAAGUAAAGCUUCACCGAAGGAGCUUCCAAACAGGAGACGUAGGAAUGCCCUCGAAGGCAUUGAAGAUUCACGGGACAUGAUGUGGACAAGGAAAAGUAUUAACUUUGCAUAAGUACAGGGGUCAAAUCUGUAGAGGUAAACCAGGAACCAGACCAAGGAGUGAUCUAUCAAUUGAUAUACACGCAGGAUUUCAUUCUUAACUCUGAUUAUUUCCAUACUACUCACUUAAACUUAUUGUGCAAUUCACAUUGUGAACGAAAUGAUUCGUCCUUCCAAGUUUCAUUCUGAAGAUCAUCAAGUCAAACUGCGAUUCUAUCAAGGCAUUAAAAAUUCAUUCUAGACAUGUUCUGCCUUCCCUGAACCAAAGGCAAAAUUCAGUAGAUCGAGUGUAAGUAAUUAAAGCAAAUGAACCAAUGGGCAAGGUCAGACCUAAGAAGAAUUUUUCUCUUUAAAAUCUUAUACAGAAAAUAAUUCACGUCACAGGAAGUUUGGAGAUCAACUCCUGAAUGAAACAUUAACAAAUAUGAUAAACAGAGAUCAAAUGAAGGUAUUGUAAAUAAUGACAUCGUUCACUUGUUAUCCUCCUUUAUUCCGUAUUCUUCACUAUUUAUCCAAUGCGAAGUGUAAAUACUUUAUUCAGGAGUUGAUAUUCAGACUACCUGUAGAGCAAUUCAUUUUUUUGAUGAAAUUUAGAAGAGAAAAUAUGAUGCACAGUGAUUAAAUUGAUCCCUUGUUCAGAGGCCAAUUAAGAAAACAAAAAAUAAUAGAUCAGAUGUUUCUAAAAAGUACUGGUUUCAACAGUAAUUUCAGGCAAAUGAUGAUUCAUUCUUCUGAAAAUCUUGUGGUUAAAUGUAAAACUAAGGAAAAUUACUCCAAUGCAAUGUUUCCUACUCAUGACUACUACUGAGAAAUAAUGUUUUACACCUAGAUAAGGUGACCUUCACUUUACUUUUGCUUAAGAUUUUAUGACGCGAUGCAUACUUUCCAUCGCACUGCACAUACCAACUGAAACUACCACCUACAAUCCUUGAGUUUGCACUUUCAGUUGACUUUCCAGAAUUUUUUUUUUAGAUUGAGUUGGCAGGAGGCUGUACCACUUCCACGAUAUAUUCACGAAGAUCAAACACCGCUUAGAGAAACUUUUUCC
RNAcentral lists this long non-coding RNA (3403 nucleotides) under Bemisia tabaci. Its description in RNAcentral is "lncRNA ENSASIAIIG004303". The record is from RNAcentral. Lineage: Eukaryota; Metazoa; Arthropoda; Insecta; Hemiptera; Aleyrodidae.